AACGAACGCUGGCGGCGUGCCUAACACAUGCAAGUCGAACGGAAACGCCCUGAGUUUGUGCUCUUCUGGGGUGUCGAACGCGGGCGUGUCACGAGUACAUCGUGCUCUUCAUUUUGGGGGAGCUUCAGGUAACUGGAGCUAAUAUAAGAUAGGAGAUCCUGCUGCAUGGUGGGGGUUGGAUAUUUUCGGCGGGUGGGGAUGGACUCGCGGCUUAUCGUGUUGUUGGUGGGGUAGUGGCUUACCCAGGCUUUGACGGGUAGCCCGCCUGGGAGGGUGACCGGGCACAUUGGGACUGAGAGACGGCCCAGACGGCUACGGGAGGCAGUAGUGGGGAAUAUUGCACAAUGGGCGGAAGCCUGAUGCAGCAACGUCGCGUGCGGGAUGACGGCCUUCGGGUUGUAAACCGCUUUCGCCUGUGACGAAGCGUGAGUGACGGUAAUGGGUAAAGAAGCACCGGCUAACUACGUG
This 468-nucleotide ribosomal RNA is filed under the name uncultured bacterium. Its description in RNAcentral is "partial 16S ribosomal RNA". It matches the Rfam family "Bacterial small subunit ribosomal RNA", at positions 28 to 507 of the family's 1533-position model. The record is from RNAcentral.